CGACGAGUUUGAUCAUGGCUCAGAUUGAACGCUGGCGGAAUGCUUUACACAUGCAAGUCGAACGGUAGAGGGGGCAACCCUUGAGAGUGGCGAACGGGUGAGUAAUAUAUCGGAACGUGCCCAGUCGUGGGGGAUAACGUAGCGAAAGUUACGCUAAUACCGCAUACGAUCUACGGAUGAAAGCGGGGGACUCGCAAGAGCCUCGCGCGAUUGGAGCGGCCGAUAUCAGAUUAGGUAGUUGGUGAGGUAAAGGCUCACCAAGCCGACGAUCUGUAGCUGGUCUGAGAGGACGACCAGCCACACUGGGACUGAGACACGGCCCAGACUCCUACGGGAGGCAGCAGUGGGGAAUUUUGGACAAUGGACGCAAGUCUGAUCCAGCCAUUCCGCGUGCAGGAUGAAGGCCCUCGGGUUGUAAACUGCUUUUGUACGGAACGAAAAGGUUUCUAUUAAUACUAGGAGCUCAUGACGGUACCGUAAGAAUAAGCACCGGCUAACUACGUG
Molecule: ribosomal RNA, 504 nt
Filed under: uncultured bacterium
Lineage: Bacteria
Description: bacterial SSU rRNA
Rfam family: Bacterial small subunit ribosomal RNA
Source: RNAcentral